This 457-nucleotide ribosomal RNA is filed under the name uncultured bacterium. Its description in RNAcentral is "bacterial SSU rRNA". It matches the Rfam family "Bacterial small subunit ribosomal RNA", at positions 29 to 524 of the family's 1533-position model. The record is from RNAcentral.
AACGAACGCUGGCGGCAGGCCUAACACAUGCAAGUCGAACGCUCGUAGCAAUACGGGAGUGGCAGACGGGUGCGCAACGCGUGGGAACAUGCCCUUUGGUUCGGAAUAACUCAGGGAAACUUGAGCUAAUACCGGAUAAGCCCGAGAGGGGAAAGAUUUAUUGCCGAAGGAUUGGCCCGCGUCUGAUUAGCUAGUUGGUAGGGUAAUGGCCUACCAAGGCGACGAUCAGUAGCUGGUCUGAGAGGAUGAUCAGCCACACUGGGACUGAGACACGGCCCAGACUCCUACGGGAGGCAGCAGUGGGGAAUAUUGGACAAUGGGCGCAAGCCUGAUCCAGCCAUGCCGCGUGAGUGAUGACGGCCUUAGGGUUGUAAAGCUCUUUUACCUGGGAAGAUAAUGACUGUACCCCCACGAAGAAGACCCCGGCCGUAACUACCGUGCCAGCAGCCGCGGUAAA